Molecule: ribosomal RNA, 253 nt
Filed under: uncultured bacterium
Lineage: Bacteria
Description: partial 16S ribosomal RNA
Rfam family: Bacterial small subunit ribosomal RNA
Source: RNAcentral
UACAGAGGGGGCAAGCGUUGUUCGGAAUUACUGGGCGUAAAGGGCGCGUAGGCGGCCUUCUAAGUCGAACGUGAAAUCCCCGGGCUCAACCCGGGAACUGCGUCCGAUACUGGAAGGCUUGAAUCCGGGAGAGGGAUGUGGAAUUCCAGGUGUAGCGGUGAAAUGCGUAGAUAUCUGGAGGAACACCGGUGGCGAAGGCGGCAUCCUGGACCGAGAUUGACGCUGAGGCGCGAAAGCCAGGGGAGCAAACGGG